This 401-nucleotide unclassified non-coding RNA is filed under the name Hevea brasiliensis (rubber tree). Lineage: Eukaryota; Viridiplantae; Streptophyta; Magnoliopsida; Malpighiales; Euphorbiaceae. The record is from RNAcentral.
GAAAGAGAGCAUCAAUCAGAGGAAAGGGAAACCACCCAAGAGCAAGCAAAUGGUGAGGUAUCCCUUUUCAUCAUCGAUAUUAAAGAUUUUGCUGCAGAUCACUUCGGCAUGUAGAGAGAUCGCUGGUGAGAGGUGGUCAGUGUCGGGAGAUAACUGUAUUCUACUAACUCAAACGUGCAUAGAGGAACAGAAUAAACUUGAUUUGAAACCAAGCAAACCCAGCAAAACACAAUUUUUUUCCUCAUCCAGAGGAAACACAUGACCCUGAGGUAUCAUUAGUGUCUCUAACAAUGUCACCAAAACCGUGAAUAAAUGAGGCAGACGUCUAUCUGCCUGCAUGGAAACAUCUUCAAUGUCAGUGGCAAAAUGCAAUAAACGUCAAUUUGUUCUCUCAAAUUGAC